CUCGCUCUCCAUCAGGGUGCUGGCCAUCUCCUUCGAGGACUCCAUCAUGUUCAGCACCACCACAGUGCCCCGGUGCUGCAGCUCCUGGUUGGGGCUUAGAAGCAGGGCCUGCAAGAUCUCCAGCCAGUGUGUGGUCUGUAGGAAAUGGCGGGUGUGAAGACUCAGCAACUGGCUCGACCCUGGCAGAAAACACAUCUACGCCCUAGGAGCUCCCCGACAGAACAGCAAUACCAAUAUGUAGGGAACUGCUAGCCCCUCAUCCGCCUCCCCUGCCGAGAGCAGGCACUAACCACUUGUGGGAUACGGCUGCAGAGGGAGGGCCGCAUGGAGGUGAGCAUGGCCAGGCCGCCGGCAGCAGCCCUCCGCAGGAGCUCAUCAUCCUCUCCGCUGUACAGCACCAGCAGCUUCAACCGGUCAUUGCCCUGGGCUUCGAAGAGAUCCUGCACCUGUGAGCAGAUGGAGGCAAGGACCAUGCUACCAGGGCCCAAAGCCGAGUCAAAGUGCAGGGACGCUAGCACCUCUGUCAUAGUGACCAGCUGGACCAACCCUCACCUCUUUGCUCAUGGCUAAGUUACACAUGCACUCUGUAGCUGCCCGGCGGAUCAUCUCAUGCUCCUCAAACAUGUAGCCCUCAAUCAUAGGCACAGCUUUCUCCUUCAGGAUCUUCUGUCUGCAGGGCGAAGUUGGAAGGGCAUGUAUGACUAGAGUCUUCAUAUCCAUAGCUGCCACCCUAUUCUAGGUGGCAGAGCCCUGGGCUGAGGUUCUCCCUUAGCAAUGCCCAAAGACCUUCCUGUACUGCUUAUGAACUGCAGCGCUUUCUAGCCUUCUGGCCUGGCUAGAAACAGCAUGGGGUCAUUAAGCAUCCUGGAAAUUACCAAAGCAGGGCAGUUAUAAAGAUGGCUCGGUAAACAUCAAUCAUUUGAGCACUAAGUCGGCCCAAGUUGCUUGACUUAUUUCACCUGAUGCUCAUCAUAACCCCAGGUUUGAAUUACCUUCCUUAAUGCUCACUGUACUCCAUGUAUAGUGCAGGGGUGGCUACCAUCACUAUUUAGCCAAAGCAGAAACCAGGCUGCGUGGUGAGUGGUAUGUUCAAGGUCACAAUUAGUACUAACAGCUAAUACACGUUCACUGUGACUAUGGCCAGGACCAGAUACUGUGAGCUAAGGGCUUUCGGGAGAGGUCAGGGAGGCAGCCUUUAAGGGUUAGGGUUAGGGUUAGGGUUAGGGUUAGGGUUAGGGUUAGGGUUAGGGUAUUAUAGCCUAGCCUGGCCUAGAACUCACAGCCAAUCUUCCUCCCAUGGUAUGAGCCCACACCCACUUGUGCCUGUUAAAGAGUUUUAUAAGCAUUUUCUCAGCAAACUCUCCAUGCUCCUACUUCAUGGGUUAGACACUUAACUAACACAGAGUGGAAACUGACACAGAAUGACUUAAAGGCUCUCUUAGGGUUGGUUAUACAGUAAGCCAAUGAGAGGAAGUAGAGGGCACAGUCAGGGCCCCAGAGCUUCACCCUGCCUCCCUUGGCAUGACUUUUUCAUCCAUGUGCCGCAGGAGUCACUGUGAGGCACAAAAAAUGAUCAGGAACUGGCUUCCAAACUACAGAGUAAGUAAUUGAAGCUCACCCAAAACCCCAUGCCAAGACCCCCCACCCCACCCCUGGGACCUUACCUGAGCCUCUCGCUGAUCCCUGCCAGGUUCGUUAGGGCCAUGAGGGCCUCAAAGUUCUGCAGUCCUGAGCAACUGAGGUGCAGUAGAGAGACAAGGGGCCGGACUACUUCGUAGAUCUGUGAUAGAACCCUGCCUAUCAGUGCUCACCCAAUCCCAGGGACCCCAGCAGGGAGCCCACCCAAGUGGGCUCUAUGACUGUCCCCUGCCCCAGGACUCAAUAAAACUGCUGUUUCCCUGCUGGUCACGGGAGGAAGCCAGGCCAAGGGCCAUCAGGGCAUAACGAAACAGGAGGGGUCACAGUUGGGCAAGCAGACACGUACCCGCUCACCAGGAAAGGUCAUCUCUGGGUUAGAGGUGAUGGUCAGCUUGGCAAGAGCCUGGGCUGCCUUCGUCUGCCCAACAUCAGUGCCUUCCAGGGCCAGCGGGAUCAGAGCCUGUCAAACAGUCCCAGCCCUGUCGAUGCCCAGGCUGGCCUUGGGAGCACAAGGUCCCAGCCAUCCAUCCUGACUACACCCUCCCUCUUACUCUCUUCUCGGGCCUGAGAGCACUCCCUACUCAGACUCCUCUCACUCUGAGGUCUCUCGUUAAAACUACCCAAACCUUCCUCAACCACCUAUUAGGUACUAAACAUGGGUUGUGCUGGGCCCUGGGGCCACAGAGGGAAAAGGAAGCAAACUCAGGAUCUUUAUGGGUCCAAAGGACUCUGAGGAGCCUGUCUACAGAAGCAUCACAUCCUGCUGGUUACUAUUAGUGUCCUCCAAGGCCAGCAGCCACUGAGAGAUGUUUUAUAGGUGGAUGGCUCAGGGUCAGGAAGGAGUCAGCUUACCUUGCCCCCUCCCUGGGCAACCACAGUACCUCGAUCCUCCACCUCCUCCACCAAAGCCAGGAAGACCCUGCCGGGAGCAGACAUGGUGGGUGAGUGGGGCCCAAGCUCUGGCAGGCAGGCAUUUCAUUCCUUUUUUUUUAGACAGGGUUUUUCUGAAUAGCCCUAAGCAAAGUAAGGCAGCCAAGUGCUCUAAGGCCCACACAGCACAGCACCCACUUCUACAGGCACACUGCAGGCUGAGGCAGGAGUUAGCAGAGGCAGGCCGGCCUACCUGGAGAGUAGCUCCCUACAGGAGUUUGUCAGCACAGGGCUCUCUGUCUUCACCAUACACGUCAUGGCUGACACCACACCUGCUGCCAGCAGCUUCUUCACACGAGCGCGCACGAAGCUCGGUUUGUCCUGUGAGAGGAGGCAGUCUGGGAGGGAGCCCUGGCUGGCUGGGUGGGAAAACAAGUAGCCAACACAGAGCUUGGGAACAGCCAGCGCAAAGGAAAGCUCUCUGCUGAGGAAACUGCUGCCAAUAACUGGGAGCCCCCCGCCCCUACCGCCCCAGCCCCAGGCCUGCCCAGCAUACCCAUACCUUAGGGUGCUGUUCUGGAACGUGCUGCUUGGCAUACUUGGCCAGCUCCACCAUCUUGGGGUCAGGCUCCUCAUAGUCGUAGCUAUUGGUGCAAUUGACCAGUGCUGAGCCUACGGCAAAGAGCACUGACCUUUCUUCAGACUGCCAGGAGAGAGAGGGGUAUUCAGCAGGGCACUCUCAGCAGAGCAACCCAGCUCAGAGCAGCUGAGCCAGGCCUCCAUCCCACCCUCCGGAUAGAACCCAGGGGAAGACUGAGCACCUGCUCCAACCCCAGACUCAGAGCCCACACUCCUGGCUCCUUAACCCCUCCACAGCAACUGUGCUUCCAGAUACUACAGGCACCAAGGUCACACAAUGCAGCCGGCUCUGCUUCCCCAGGAUCACAGGGACAUUGGUGUGACCUGCUAAGGCCUGGUAAGCGCUCAUCCUAGAUGCUGCCCCCAGGCUGAGAGCAGAAACCCGCAGAACUACCCUGCUGAGCUGGAACAGGGCCUUCAGAGCAGCCUCGUCCUCCACAAACUCCUCCUUCACAUCAGCAUCAAAGGUGAGGUCCUUGAGCAGCGAGACGCCGUUGGCAGUGAUGAAGGAGGCCCGCUUGGCUUUGCCGGCUGCGUGGAUCAGCGCCUCCACUGCCACCAGCUGUUCUUCCUCCUGCUCUGAGGCGCACAGAGCGAUCACGCUCUCCAUGACACCACUCAGCUCUAAGGCCCGGUUGCCAGCGUCACAUGGGCCCUGCAGAAGGCAGGACACUGUCUGGAUGGCUCGCAGCUUCCCGGCCAGCCCUCGGCCCUCAAACCAGCUCCUGAGGGGCAGAGUUAGAGCUGUCACUUCGAAGCACACACAAGGGGCCUCUUCUCCCCGCCUCCCUUACAGUAGGCACGCACUUGGUGCUAGAUGGGAAGAAACAGCAUGAAAAGCUGCCAAGGGAAGCCUGACCAUCCAGCCACAACAGUAAUCACCAAGCUCCAUUACUGCCCUCCACCUGGGCCUAGCUGGUGACACUCUGCCAAACACAGCUUACUCUCAGACAUAUCGUCUGGUCCCAUUCCAUUCCUGUACUACUUAAGAUCCCAUUGUAAGCUACUGCCAUCUUUUCCCAUCAGCUGUCAACCCUCAAGGGUAGACUGUCACGUCUACUUCUUGGGGUAUAAAAGAAAUCCAGUGUUUGA
Molecule: long non-coding RNA, 4239 nt
Organism: Mastomys coucha (southern multimammate mouse)
Lineage: Eukaryota; Metazoa; Chordata; Mammalia; Rodentia; Muridae
Exons: 2
Source: RefSeq, a predicted model, not a curated record